GAUGAACGCUGGCGGCAUGCCUUACACAUGCAAGUCGAACGGUAACAGGGAGCUUGCUCCGCUGACGAGUGGCGAACGGGUGAGUAAUGUAUCGGAACGUACCAUUCAGUGGGGGAUAACGUAGCGAAAGUUACGCUAAUACCGCAUAUUCUGUGAGCAGGAAAGCAGGGGAUCGCAAGACCUUGCGCUGAUUGAGCGGCCGAUAUCAGAUUAGCUAGUUGGUGAGGUAAAGGCUCACCAAGGCGACGAUCUGUAGCGGGUCUGAGAGGAUGAUCCGCCACACUGGAACUGAGACACGGUCCAGACUCCUACGGGAGGCAGCAGUGGGGAAUUUUGGACAAUGGGGGCAACCCUGAUCCAGCCAUGCCGCGUGAGUGAAGAAGGCCUUCGGGUUGUUAAGACUCUUUCGGCCGGGAAGAAAGUCGCAUGGGCUAAUACCCUGUGCGGAUGACGGUACCGGCAUAAGAAGACACCGGCUAACUACGU
This 486-nucleotide ribosomal RNA is filed under the name uncultured bacterium. Its description in RNAcentral is "bacterial SSU rRNA". It matches the Rfam family "Bacterial small subunit ribosomal RNA", at positions 28 to 506 of the family's 1533-position model. The record is from RNAcentral.